This 313-nucleotide ribosomal RNA is filed under the name uncultured bacterium. RNAcentral's name for it is "bacterial SSU rRNA". It matches the Rfam family "Bacterial small subunit ribosomal RNA", at positions 28 to 334 of the family's 1533-position model. The record is from RNAcentral.
GACGAACGCUGGCGGCGCGCCUAACACAUGCAAGUCGAACGAGCGAGAGAGAGCUUGCUUUCUCGAGCGAGUGGCGAACGGGUGAGUAACGCGUGAGGAACCUGCCUCAAAGAGGGGGACAACAGUUGGAAACGACGUGCUAAUACCGCAUAAGCCCACAGCUCGGCACCGUAGCAGAGGGAAAAGGAGUGAUCCGCUUUGAGAUGGCCUCGCGUCCGAUUAGCUGGUUGGUGAGGUAACGGCCCACCAAGGCGACGAUCGGUAGCCGGACUGAGAGGUUGAACGGCCACAUUGGGACUGAGACACGGCCCAG